This 1278-nucleotide ribosomal RNA is filed under the name Triticum aestivum (bread wheat). RNAcentral describes it as "partial small subunit ribosomal RNA". The record is from RNAcentral. Lineage: Eukaryota; Viridiplantae; Streptophyta; Magnoliopsida; Poales; Poaceae.
AUGGUCCUUGCUCCUCGGCGGGGCACAAUGUGGCGCCGCCGUCAUCCGUGGCGGACACGCUCCGGUGGGAUCAGCACCGCGCGGGCUACAUCCAGAGGAAGCUCUCCGUCGAGAACCCCCUGGCGGACGCGCCCGCCCAGACCCCCCCAGUCAUCUGAGGUCAAUAGCGAGCCCGCCGGGACGUUCGCAGUGGGAAAUGAGGCGCCUUCAUCGUCAUCCGACGUUGCUCCGGCAGCCACCGGCGGUGGGAAGCUGCCUGGAGUGACCCAACACAUGGUGAUCGACACGGCGAGCGACGUGCCGUGGGUGCAGUGCGCGCCCUGCCCAAAGCCGCAGUGCCACCCUCAGACGGACGCAACCUACGACCCAAGCAAGUCCGGGACCUAUGCUCCCUUCCCCUGCAGCUCCCCCAUCUGCCGCCAGCUCGGCCCGUACGCCAACGGCUGCACCGGCGCCGGCAACACCGGCCAGUGCCAGUACCGCGUCCAGUACCCCGACGGGUCAGCCACCUCCGGCACCUACAUCUCCGACGUGCUAACAAUCACCCCCACCCCGGCCGGCACGGUCAGCAGCUUCCGCUUCGGCUGCAGCCACGCCCUACAGCGCCCCGAGCUCUUCAGCAACACGACCGCCGGGAUCAUGUCGCUCGGCCGGGGCGCGCAGUCGCUCUCGUCGCAGACAAAGGGAACCUACGGCAACGUCUUCUCCUACUGCGUCCCGCCGACGGCGAGCCAACGUGGCUUCUUCACUCUCGGGGUACCGAGGAUCGCCGCCUCCAGGUACGUGCUGACGCCCAUGCUCAAGAGCAAAAUGGCCCCGUCCAUGUACCUCGUGCGCCUGCAGGCUAUCACCGUCGCGGGGCAACGGGUCGCUGUUCCGCCGAUGGUCUUUGCCCCCGGCGCGGUGAUGGACUCCCGCACCGUCAUCACGCGCCUCCAGCCCACGGCGUACCGCGCGCUGCGCGACGCCUUCAGGGCCCAGAUGAGCGCGUACCGCGUCGCCCCGCCCAAGGGCCAGCUAGACACCUGCUACGACUUCACCGGCAUCCGCACCCUAAGGCUGCCCAAGAUCUCGCUGGUGUUCGACAGCCGGAGCAACGGCGGUGCUGCAGUGGAGCUUGACUCGUCAGGGGUGCUGUUCAACAGCUGCCUCGCCUUCGCAUCCACUGGCGGCGGCGACGGAUCCACCGGGAUCAUCGGCUACGUUCAGCAGCGUACAAUCGAGGUGCUCUUCAACGUCGGCGGCAGCGCCGUCGGAUUCCGCCGUGGCGCGUGCUGA